Molecule: ribosomal RNA, 460 nt
Filed under: uncultured bacterium
Lineage: Bacteria
Description: partial 16S ribosomal RNA
Rfam family: Bacterial small subunit ribosomal RNA
Source: RNAcentral
CCUACGGGAGGCAGCAGUGAGGAAUAUUGGUCAAUGGACGAGAGUCUGAACCAGCCAAGUCGCGUGAAGGAUGACUGCCCUAUGGGUUGUAAACUUCUUUUAUAUGGGACUAAAAUGUUCCACGUGUGGGAUUUUGUAUGUACCAUAUGAAUAAGGUUCGGUGAACUCGUUGCCAGCAGCCGCGGUAAUACGGAGUAGCCGAGCGUUAUCCGGAUUUAUUGGGUUUAAGGGGAGCGAAGGUGGAUGGUUAAGUCGGUUGUGAAAGUUUGCGGCUCAACCGUAAAAGUGCAGUUGAAACUGGCAGUCUUGAGUACAGUAGAGGUGGGCGGAAUUCGUGGUGUAGCGGUGAAAUGCUUAGAUAUCACGAAGAACUCCGAUUGCGAAGGCAGCUCACUGGACUGCAACUGACACUGAGGCUCGAAAGUGUGGGUAUCAAACAGGAUUAGAUACCCCGGUAGUC